Molecule: non-coding RNA, 1172 nt
Organism: Leptonychotes weddellii (Weddell seal)
Lineage: Eukaryota; Metazoa; Chordata; Mammalia; Carnivora; Phocidae
Source: RefSeq, a predicted model, not a curated record
GCGGAACCAAUACGCGCGCGGCGGCGUUUCCGGCGGGACGCUCAGGAGGAGACCCGGGUCGCCGCCAACCCACGCGCGGUGCGGGCCCGCGUCCCGUCAUGAAGUUUCGGGCCAAGAUCGUGGACGCGGCCUGUCUGAACCACUUCACGCGGGUCAGCGCCAUGAUAGCCAAGCUUGCCAAAACCUGCACGCUCCGCAUCAGCCCGCAGAAGCUGAACUUCAUCCUCUCGGACAAAGUGGCCAGCGGAGGGGUGAGCAUGUGGUGUGAGCUGGAACAGGAGAACUUCUUCCGUGAAUUCCAAAUGGAGGGGGUGUCUGCAGAAAACAACGCCAUCUAUUUAGAGCUGAUGUCGGAAAAUUUAUCUCGAGCAUUGAAAACGGCCCAGAAUGCCAGAGCCUUGAAGAUCAAGUUGACGAAUAAACACUUUCCCUGCCUCACGGUCUCUAUAGAGCUGUUAUCUGUGUCGAGCAGUAGCCGCAUUGUGACACAUGACAUCCCUGUUAAGGUUAUUCCUAGAAAAUUGUGGAAGGAUUUGCAAGAACCUACAGUCCCAGUUUCCGAUGUUAGUAUUUAUUUACCAGUCUUGAAGACAAUGAAGAGCAUCGUGGAAAAAAUGAAAAACAUCAGCAAUCACCUUAUUAUCGAAGCAAACCUAAGUGGAGAAUUGAACUUGAAAAUAGAAACAGAACUAGUGUGUGUUACAACUCACUUUAAAGACCUGGGGAACCCUCCAUCAGGCUGCGCCAGUCAGCGGAAACAAAUCAUUCAUUUCAGCUGUCAUCACGCUGCCCCAGCUUCCCUGUCUCGUCCCGAGCUGUUCAUGUCUUUGUAGCCUCUGAAGACGCCUCUCGGGAUAGAGACCCAGAGCAGAUGGCUGAGGUGCACAUAGACAUCCGGAAGCUCCUGCAGUUCCUCGCUGGGCAGCAAGUGAAUCCCACGAAGGCCGUGUGCAACAUUGUCAGUAACAAGAUUGUCCAUUUUGAUUUGCUCCAUGAAGAUGUUUCCCUGCAGUACUUCAUCCCGGCUUUCUCCUAGACCGCCUCGCGGCCCGGGAGCGAUGUGUCCUCACGGCCACGCACGUCUGUACAUUUUCCUUCUCUUCCCUCCAUGGUAUUUUAGCUAAAAAUUGAGUUCACGAAAGAUAGUUGGAUAAACAUACUACUUUAUGUGA